RNAcentral lists this long non-coding RNA (752 nucleotides) under Homo sapiens (human). Its description in RNAcentral is "HSALNT0168112". The record is from RNAcentral. Lineage: Eukaryota; Metazoa; Chordata; Mammalia; Primates; Hominidae.
UACAAUCUUAGCACGCCCCAAGCUGGUUACGAAUUGCCCACUCGGAGGACAACCCCGAAGGGAUUUGUCAAUGCUCGAAAAUUUGUUUUAAUAAUGUGAUGAUUAAUUCCGUCGGGAACUGUUUCUGUUCUACCAUCUGCUAUAAAUCUAGGCAGAUCUGUACAAUUGCAACAAAGAUUUAGCCAGGAUAAAUAGUUAUUCAAACCUAUGAACUAUCUGGAAGCAAAGGGACAUUCCUGAAAGAAAUUGCCACCAUAAAGCAGAAUGCCAGCCGCACAGUGCCUACUAGCUCAUAGCUAAACAACGGAGAACUGCAGCCUUGAAACAGUGCCCCAAAGAGUUAAAGAAGUCUGUGACUAACAAAUUCUUGAGUUUGCAGGAUAGCAGAUGAGAAAAGAAACAACUUGCUGAAACUCCCUCCACUUGUAAUAUUAAAAAACUGACUGAAAUUGCUUGCAAUCAACAUGACUAACUGGAGUUUGUGCAGAAUGGUUUGCUAACAUCACAGCCUGAAUUUCCAGUGCAUGGUUCAUACAAACUCCCCGAGUUUGACAUAUGAUCCAUGUGGUGGCAUGAAGAGGUAACUGUGCAUGCCUCAGCACUUUCUAGACCUCCGCUUUCCUUCCGCCAAUCACCUACUAAUCCCAGAAUCCACCCAUGAAUUUUUUUCUAAUAAAAUUACUGCUUUAAACCUAGCACAGAGAGACAGAUUCGAGCUGGAUUCCUGUCUUUUUAGUCAACUUGCAAUAAAA